CGAAAGGGUGACGAAGCGACGCCGCGUGUGGGAAGAAGGCCUUCGGGUUGUAAACCACUGUCAGGAGUUAAGAAGUGUAAGGGUGCUAAUAGUAUCCUUACUUGACUAAGGCUCCAGAGGAAGCCACGGCUAACUCUGUGCCAGCAGCCGCGGUAAUACAGAGGUGGCAAGCGUUGUUCGGAAUUAUUGGGCGUAAAGAGCACGUAGGCGGUUCUGCAAGUCGGCUGUGAAAGCCUUCCGCUCAACGGAAGAACAGCAGUUGAUACUACAGGACUAGAGUGCGGGAGGGGAGAGUGGAACUUCUGGUGGAGCGGUGAAAUGCGUAGAUAUCAGAAGGAACGCCGGCGGCGAAAGCGACUCUCUGGCCCGUAACUGACGCUGAGUGUGCGAAAGCUAGGGGAGCAAACGGGAUUAGAUACCCCGGUAGUCCUAGCCGU
RNAcentral lists this ribosomal RNA (437 nucleotides) under uncultured bacterium. Its description in RNAcentral is "bacterial SSU rRNA". It matches the Rfam family "Bacterial small subunit ribosomal RNA", at positions 376 to 803 of the family's 1533-position model. The record is from RNAcentral.